GCAGGGAGAUAGUGGGUAAUAUUGGGGUACAGAGGGCAGUCAGGCAGGGAGAUAGUGGGUAAUAUUGGGGUACAGAGGGAGUCAGGCAGGGAGAUAGUGGGUAAUAUUGGGGUACAGAGGGAGUCAGUCAGGGAGAUAGUGGGUAAUAUUGGGGUACAGAGGGCAGUCAGGCAGGGAGAUAGUGGGUAAUAUUGGGGUACAGAGGGAGUCAGUCAGGGAGAUAGUGGGUAAUAUUGGGGUACAGAGGGAGUCAGUCAGGGAGAUAGUGGGUAAUAUUGGGGUACAGAGGGAGUCAGUCAGGGAGAUAGUGGGUAAUAUUGGGGUACAGAGGGCAGUCAGGCAGGGAGAUAGUGGGUAAUAUUGGGGUACAGAGGGAGUCAGUCAGGGAGAUAGUGGGUAAUAUUGGGGUACAGAGGGCAGUCAGGCAGGGAGAUAGUGGGUAAUAUUGGGGUACAGAGGGAGUCA
This is a non-coding RNA of Pelobates cultripes (western spadefoot toad), 465 nucleotides long. NCBI's taxonomy places the organism in Eukaryota, Metazoa, Chordata, Amphibia, Anura, Pelobatidae. The record is from the annotation of a GenBank genome assembly.